This 487-nucleotide ribosomal RNA is filed under the name uncultured bacterium. RNAcentral describes it as "bacterial SSU rRNA". It matches the Rfam family "Bacterial small subunit ribosomal RNA", at positions 501 to 987 of the family's 1533-position model. The record is from RNAcentral.
CUACGUGCCAGCAGCCGCGGUAAUACGUAGGUCCCGAGCGUUGUCCGGAUUUAUUGGGCGUAAAGCGAGCGCAGGCGGUUAGAUAAGUCUGAAGUUAAAGGCUGUGGCUUAACCAUAGUACGCUUUGGAAACUGUUUAACUUGAGUGCAAGAGGGGAGAGUGGAAUUCCAUGUGUAGCGGUGAAAUGCGCAGAUAUCAGGAAGAACACCGGUGGCGAAGGCGGGUCUCUGGGCCGUUACUGACGCUGAGGAGCGAAAGCGUGGGGAGCGAACAGGAUUAGAUACCCUGGUAGUCCACGCUGUAAACGUUGGGCACUAGGUGUGGGGGCCACCCGUGGUUUCUGCGCCGUAGCUAACGCUUUAAGUGCCCCGCCUGGGGAGUACGGCCGCAAGGCUAAAACUCAAAGGAAUUGACGGGGGCCCGCACAAGCGGUGGAGUAUGUGGUUUAAUUCGACGCAACGCGAAGAACCUUACCAGGUCUUGACAU